AAUGCAUAAUUCGGCAGAACAGAUGAUGAAGACUACCUGCCGGGAUUUGCAUCCACCUUUUUUCUCAACAUAAAUGAGCGUUACCAGCUGCCACGUGCAGGAAAUUCUCGCAGGUAUGCAGAGCUCUGCACAAACGGGCAAGAGGCCGACAGCAGAAACAGCUGAUAAGACUUUUCGCAGGAGAAGCGGCUGUAGGUCCUGGUCGGCACCUUAAGGCUGCCAUACCUCGCCAUGGGGGCCUGUCACCUUGAUAAAGACAACUAAGUUGGUACAGCAAUCAACUGGAGGUCCAUAAACUUCCAGAAGACUAAAGGACAUGCGCACUCUGUCAUAAAGGCGAGGUGGAGCGGACUGCUUCACAGUGACAACUCAGACAUCCUGACACUGUUUUAACCCCUCUCUCCCUCUGGGUGCCAUUCACUCUGAGUCAGACAACCUGACUCAGUUCCCUUUUCUGCUACUGGUAGAGAGGUAGACCAGCAACAUAAAAGUCAGAAAUGGAACCUUUUAUAUUUAUAUUAACUUGGGGGAACUCUA
Long non-coding RNA from Micropterus dolomieu (smallmouth bass), 537 nucleotides. RefSeq lists it as uncharacterized. The record is from RefSeq and is a predicted model, not a curated record. Lineage: Eukaryota; Metazoa; Chordata; Actinopteri; Centrarchiformes; Centrarchidae. The transcript has 3 exons.